UGUUAGUUAUAAUGCCUUGUUUUGUAAGAGUCGGUAAUGGAGUCUCGGUGGCCGCUGGCCCCUAACGGGCAGACUGUGCUACCGCCUCGUACUGCAUCGUAGAUGAUGAAAAUACGGCACAUAUAGCGAUGAUCACACCCGUGUGUUACAGCCCUGCUGUUCCGCCCACUCUCACACAGAUCCUCCGGCAACAGCAAAUUGGGCUAUUGAAGAACUCAAUAUACCUCCCAGCAUCUAGGAGUUUGAAGUAGGAAUCGAGCGACAUCGUUAAUACAUCUGCCCCAGAGAUUGCUGAAAGAGCACAGGAUUGAACUUGACUGCAUGGACACACUUGGGGCACUUCAAUUAUACGCAAUGCUUGCCAACUGUGCACUGUGGAUAAUUACCACAGAACGACAUGACUCUUUUUACUGUGUGGGUGCAAGCACCAAGCACCAUGGACGGUCCAAGCAUAUUGCUAUUAGACAUCUCUACUUCCGUGAGCUAGUGGAGAGAAAGUCUGUAAG
Molecule: long non-coding RNA, 506 nt
Organism: Pseudophryne corroboree (corroboree frog)
Lineage: Eukaryota; Metazoa; Chordata; Amphibia; Anura; Myobatrachidae
Exons: 3
Source: RefSeq, a predicted model, not a curated record